GAUGAACGCUGGCGGCGUGCCUAAUACAUGCAAGUCGAGCGAACGGACGAGAAGCUUGCUUCUCUGAUGUUAGCGGCGGACGGGUGAGUAACACGUGGAUAACCUACCUAUAAGACUGGGAUAACUUCGGGAAACCGGAGCUAAUACCGGAUGAUAUUUUGAACCGCAUGGUUCAAAAGUGAAAGACGGUCUUGCUGUCACUUAUAGAUGGAUCCGCGCUGCAUUAGCUAGUUGGUAAGGUAACGGCUUACCAAGGCAACGAUGCAUAGCCGACCUGAGAGGGUGAUCGGCCACACUGGAACUGAGACACGGUCCAGACUCCUACGGGAGGCAGCAGUAGGGAAUCUUCCGCAAUGGGCGAAAGCCUGACGGAGCAACGCCGCGUGAGUGAUGAAGGUCUUCGGAUCGUAAAACUCUGUUAAUAGGGAAAGAACUAUGUGUAAGUUACUGUGCACAUCCUGACGGGACCUAAUCAGAAAGCCCCGGCUAACUACGUGCCAACAGCCGCGGGAAUACCUAGGUGGGAAGCGUUUUCGGGAAUAUUGGGCGUAAACGCGCGUAGCGGUUUUUUAGUCUGAUGUGAAAGCCCACGGCUCAACCGUGGAGGGUCAUUGGAAACUGGAAAACUUGAGUGCAGAAGAGGAAAGUGGAAUUCCAUGUGUAGCGGUGAAAUGCGCAGAGAUAUGGAGGAACACCAGUGGCGAAGGCGACUUUCUGGUCUGUAACUGACGCUGAUGUGCGAAAGCGUGGGGAUCAAACAGGAUUAGAUACCCUGGUAGUCCACGCCGUAAACGAUGAGUGCUGAGUGUUAGGGGGUUUCCGCCCCUUAGUGCUGCAGCUAACGCAUUAAGCACUCCGCCUGGGGAGUACGACCGCAAGGUUGAAACUCAAAGGAAUUGACGGGGACCCGCACAAGCGGUGGAGCAUGUGGUUUAAUUCGAAGCAACGCGAAGAACCUUACCAAAUCUUGACAUCCUUUGACAACUCUAGAGAUAGAGCCUUCCCCUUCGGGGGACAAAGUGACAGGUGGUGCAUGGUUGUCGUCAGCUCGUGUCGUGAGAUGUUGGGUUAAGUCCCGCAACGAGCGCAACCCUUAAGCUUAGUUGCCAUCAUUAAGUUGGGCACUCUAAGUUGACUGCCGGUGACAAACCGGAGGAAGGUGGGGAUGACGUCAAAUCAUCAUGCCCCUUAUGAUUUGGGCUACACGCGUGCUACAAUGGACAAUACAAAGGGCAGCGAAACCGCGAGGUCAAGCAAAUCCCAUAAAGUUGUUCUCAGUUCGGAUUGUAGUCUGCAACUCGACUACAUGAAGCUGGAAUCGCUAGUAAUCGUAGAUCAGCAUGCUACGGUGAAUACGUUCCCGGGUCU
RNAcentral lists this ribosomal RNA (1368 nucleotides) under uncultured bacterium. RNAcentral describes it as "bacterial SSU rRNA". It matches the Rfam family "Bacterial small subunit ribosomal RNA", at positions 28 to 1381 of the family's 1533-position model. The record is from RNAcentral.